This 383-nucleotide ribosomal RNA is filed under the name uncultured eukaryote. Its description in RNAcentral is "partial 18S ribosomal RNA". It matches the Rfam family "Eukaryotic small subunit ribosomal RNA", at positions 592 to 976 of the family's 1831-position model. The record is from RNAcentral.
CAAUAGCGUAUAUUAAAGUUGUUGCAGUUAAAAAGCUCGUAGUUGGAUUUCUGGUGGGAGCGAUCGGUCUGGCGCUUAGCGCGAGUACUUGCAUCGUCUCCAGCCAUCCUUGGGGAGAGUCUGUCUGGCAUUAGGUUGUCGGGCAGAGGAUCCUCAUCGUUUACUGUGAAAAAAUUAGAGUGUUCAAAGCAGGCUUAUGCCGUUGAAUAUAUUAGCAUGGAAUAAUAAGAUAGGACUUUGGUACUAUUUUGUUGGUUUGCGCACCAAAGUAAUGAUUAAUAGGGACAGUUGGGGGUAUUCGUAUUCCGUUGUCAGAGGUGAAAUUCUUGGAUUUACGGAAGACGAACUACUGCGAAAGCAUUUACCAAGGAUGUUUUCAUUAA